CUUUGAGGGUCUUGAUGUGUGGUUUGGGAAGGUUAACCAUCAUGUGUUGUGUGUCUACCCACUCAGGUGAUUGAUAUAUGUCUUGUAGAUAGAAAGUUCCCAAUUUGUUGUAUGAGCCCCCCCUUUCCAAUACAUUCCCAUUACGUAUUCACUAGUAUCUCCAGGGCUGGGGUGCUCUAUAUUUAAGGUAAGUUUCAUUGGGGUUGUCCCUGUUGGUUUCCAUAAAGUCAUUCUGUGUAGUAAAGAUUUCCCAUUCUUGUCCACUCUGUUUAGGGCACUUUGUGGCUUAUAGCCCCAUGCUAAUCCUGUGUUCCAACCUGCCGCCUUCCAGGAACUACAGUGAUGUCCCCAAUAGUCAUCUGUCACACAUAUGUAUGGGUCCUUUUUACUAGGUAUAUCUUUGUAGAUUGUUGACAGCAAUGAUUGUGGGAAUGUACAAGUGACAAUAUCACAGUAGUCAAAUGUAAAUGUAGCGACAUGUGUGUUGAAAGAGUUAUACCAAAAUGUGUAAACAUGAUUAUCUUUAGCGAUAGCAACUUAUUGGGCCUCUAUAAGACCUAGCAGCAGAAAAGGGCACAGGAAGCUCAUGAAUCAGCAGGAUCUGCUUCCUCUGGAGCUGGAGCUUUCUUGCAAUGUGAAGCAUGUAUCCAAGUCUUUUUCCCAGCCAAUUUCACUGAGGUAGAUGUGGUCAACAAGACUUGGAAAGGACCAUCAUAUCUUGGCUCAAGAGAGCUUUUCCUCAGGAACCUCUUAACCAGGACCCAAUCACCAGGAAGUAGCUUGUGGGUGCCCGUAUCAGACUCUGGAUCAGGAAUGGAAGAAAACACUUGUGUAUGGAUUUUGGUCAAAGCCAGAGAGAGAGCAGUUACAUAUUCAACCAACACAUCUGAUUGGAGUUGGAGCUGUUGAGGGAAAUAGCAGCCUAGUCUGGGGGCUGAACCAGACAAGAUUGUGUAUGAGGAUAGGCCAAACUUCCCUCUUGGUGCAUACCUCACACUAAAUAGAGCUAUGGGUAGACACUCUGGCCAGGGUAGGUUAGUUUCUUGGGCCAUUUUAAGCAUUCUGGCUUUUAAGGUGCCAUUCAUGCGUUCUACCUUGCCACUUCUCUGUGGAUGAUAGGGUGCAUGGAAUGCAAGGGUCAACCCGAGUGCUGCCCAGAUUUCUUUAGUCACCAAUGCAGUGAAGGAUGGGCCCUGGUCACUUUCUAUCACUUCCGGGACUCCAUAUCUGCACACAACUUCAGUGAGUAGACGUUUG
Molecule: non-coding RNA, 1257 nt
Organism: Pelobates cultripes (western spadefoot toad)
Lineage: Eukaryota; Metazoa; Chordata; Amphibia; Anura; Pelobatidae
Source: the annotation of a GenBank genome assembly